RNAcentral lists this RNase P RNA (390 nucleotides) under Candidatus Nanopelagicales bacterium. RNAcentral's name for it is "RNase P RNA component class A". It matches the Rfam family "Bacterial RNase P class A". From Rfam's summary of the family: Ribonuclease P (RNase P) is a ubiquitous endoribonuclease, found in archaea, bacteria and eukarya as well as chloroplasts and mitochondria. Its best characterised activity is the generation of mature 5'-ends of tRNAs by cleaving the 5'-leader elements of precursor-tRNAs. Cellular RNase Ps are ribonucleoproteins. Lineage: Bacteria; Bacillati; Actinomycetota; Actinomycetes; Candidatus Nanopelagicales. The record is from RNAcentral.
CGAGCCGACCGGGUGAUCGCGGUGCUGAUGACGUGUCGUCAGUGUCGAGGAAAGUCCGGGCUCCACAUGGCAGGGUGGUGGGUAACACCCACCCGGGGCAACCCGCGGGACAGUGCCACAGAAAACAAACCGCCGACCGAGAGGUCGGUAAGGGUGAAACGGUGGUGUAAGAGACCACCAGCGACGCAGGUGACUGCGGUGGCUAGGCAAACCCCACCCGGAGCUAGACCAAGUGGACCCGCAAGGGUCCAAGCAGGAGAGUCGCCCGCUCGGUCUUCGGACCCAUCCUGCUGGUAGGUCGCACGAGGCCAUCGGCAACGGUGGUCCCAGAUGGAUGAUCACCCCUCGCGCAAGCGAGGACAGAACCCGGCUUAUAGGUCGACUCGUCCG